RNAcentral lists this ribosomal RNA (382 nucleotides) under uncultured eukaryote. RNAcentral describes it as "partial 18S ribosomal RNA". It matches the Rfam family "Eukaryotic small subunit ribosomal RNA", at positions 592 to 976 of the family's 1831-position model. The record is from RNAcentral.
UGUAAGCGUAUACCAAAGUUGUUGCGGUUAAAACGCUCGUAGUCGGAAUUUGGCAGUUCCGGAUGUGUGCACGUCGUGUGCGCACUUCGCGGGGAUUGCUUUUGUGGUCUUGCGUAGGAUGUGGCACUUUUAUUAGUGAACGUCCUCACGCAACCACUUUUUACUGUGAGAAAAUCAGAGUGCUCAAAGCAGGCAUUUGCCGUGAAUGUAUUAGCAUGGAAUAAUAGAAUAGGACUUGGUUCUAUUUUGUUGGUUUGUUGGGACUGAGUAAUGAUUAAGAGGGACAGUUGGGGGCAUUUGUAUUUCGGUGCUAGAGGUGAAAUUCUUAGAUUACCGAAAGACAAACUGCUGCGAAAGCGUCUGCCAAGGAUGUUUUCAUUGA